This is a non-coding RNA of Ciona savignyi (Pacific transparent sea squirt), 46 nucleotides long. The record is from Rfam. NCBI's taxonomy places the organism in Eukaryota, Metazoa, Chordata, Ascidiacea, Phlebobranchia, Cionidae.
GCCCGGUUAGCUCAGCCGGUAGAGCGUUGGACUUUUAAUCCAACGG